ACGGGAGGCAGCAGUGGGGAAUAUUAGGCAAUGGGGGCAACCCUGACCUAGCAACGCCGCGUGAAGGAAGAAGGCCUUCGGGUUGUAAACUUCUUUUAUGAGGGACGAAGGAAGUGACGGUACCUCAUGAAUAAGCCACGGCUAACUACGUGCCAGCAGCCGCGGUAAUACGUAGGUGGCAAGCGUUGUCCGGAUUUACUGGGUGUAAAGGGCGCGUAGGCGGGACUGCAAGUCAGAUGUGAAAUCCCCGGGCUUAACCCGGGAACUGCAUUUGAAACUGUAGUUCUUGAGUAUCGGAGAGGCAAGCGGAAUUCCUAGUGUAGCGGUGAAAUGCGUAGAUAUUAGGAGGAACACCAGUGGCGAAGGCGGCUUGCUGGACGACAACUGACGCUGAGGCGCGAAAGCGUGGGGAGCAAACAGG
RNAcentral lists this ribosomal RNA (421 nucleotides) under uncultured Oscillospiraceae bacterium. Its description in RNAcentral is "bacterial SSU rRNA". It matches the Rfam family "Bacterial small subunit ribosomal RNA", at positions 341 to 776 of the family's 1533-position model. The record is from RNAcentral. Lineage: Bacteria; Bacillati; Bacillota; Clostridia; Eubacteriales; Oscillospiraceae.